This 1601-nucleotide long non-coding RNA is filed under the name Paramuricea clavata. The record is from RNAcentral. Lineage: Eukaryota; Metazoa; Cnidaria; Anthozoa; Malacalcyonacea; Plexauridae.
UCGAGGAAAAAGAAGAAGAAGAUUUUGGAGAAGAUUCUGCAGAAGAAGAUGAAGAUACUUUUCUGGAAGAAACAUUUCUUGACGACGAAUACUGCAUUAGAGAAGAAGUACAUGAAAAAUUUAAAAGGUGCAUGCAUGCAUAUACUACAAAUAGUAUUGAUUGUAGGAAAUUUGUGUCAAACAUAACUUUUGAAAAAUCUUUCGUCGGAAGGUCGAAAUGAAAUUAAAAUGGAUGGAAAUACAAUAAAAUUGCAUUCACAAAACGUGAAGAAAUAAACUUUAAUUUACAAACAUUGAAGAACAGCAAGUUAUAACUAUACGUUACGUGCGGGAAUAUCCCCACACUAAGUUAAGGUUGGGGAUAGGAUAUUUGAGCAGAUCACAUAUGGAUAUAACAGAACAAUUUGUUCCAAUCUCCAAUAAAUUGUAGACGUUAACAUGUCAUUUUUUCAAUAGGUUUCCAUGGUUGCACGGUGCAUAUGGGAUUACUGGCCCGAACAAAAAAAUUGCACGUUCUCAUUUUUAUGUAACUGUUGAAAAAGGGAAGAAGGAAUCUGAGAUAUUGGAUGACAUUAAAGCUGCAUUUGAUUGUGAACCAAGUGACUACUUUGAACUUCUUCCGGAACCCAAGAAACCUGUGAAGUUUAAGUUCCUAUUGAAACCAGCACCUGGGGGAGGUAUCGCAGUUAAAGAAAAUGUACCAAAUCCUUUACAGGCAUCAAAUGAUACUGAGGAAGAAGAAUCAAGCACUUGUCGGGCAUCAGGAACAUUAACCAUGUUCUGCUGUAAGGAUGAUAAACACUACGCACUUACCUGUUUUCAUGUGGGUGUUAUCACUGAUAAACAACGGUUUGACCGAGCAUUCAAUCAGCAAGAUGUUUUGGACAUUCGCAAAUCGCGAUCAAUUGCAUGGCAUAAAGAAUAUGCCAAGAAAACACUAACAUAUGGCUAUCGCAAGAACGAAAUUGACAAUACUGAUGAAAAUGAAAACACUGGCAACUCUGCCAAACGUAGUGAUCUUGGUACGUUUUCCAAGGGUUCCUUUGACGAAGUUUCUGACAUUAUGUCUAUAGAAGUUGCUCAAAAUAUUAAAGUUGAUUGCACAGUGGCGGAGAUAGAUUCUCCCGUCUGGGCGAGAAUAUGGCAGGAACUAAAAAAAAGAGUUAUUCGCAAACGAGGAAUAGUUCCUGUGAGAGUGCAGAAACUCGGUUAUUCGUCAAACCUAACGGAUGGAUAUAUCGAUAAUAUUAAUUUUUCUUACAAUCAUGAAGGUGAACUUUUGUUCAGAGAUGCAAUCGCUGUGAAAAGUGAUUCAGGAAAAUUUUUGCAUGCUGGUGACUCUGGAGCUUUAAUAUGUUAUCUAGAUUCCGAAAACAAAAAACAGGCGUUCGCUUAUGGCGUCUGCGAAAUAGACAAAAAUGAUUCGGAUGAAGAAGAUGUAGUAUUUCGUGAACCACUAUCAAGUGAAACAGAAAAUGAACCACUAUCAAAUGAAACCGACAAAUCAUUGUUCAUUUGUUUGAGAUUAAAUACAGCUAUGAGAAAUUUGGAACUUUCACGUGAGACGGGGUGUUUCAAAGAAUGUGGCAGCAAUCAAGAAG